AACGCGAAGAACCUUACCUACCCUUGACAUCGAGAGAGCUUUCCAGAGAUGGAUUGGUGCCUUCGGGAACUCUCAGACAGGUGCUGCAUGGCUGUCGUCAGCUCGUGUUGUGAAAUGUUGGGUUAAGUCCCGUAACGAGCGCAACCCUUGUCCCUAUUUGCCAGCGAUUCGGUCGGGGACUCUAGGGAGACUGCCGGUGACAAACCGGAGGAAGGUGGGGACGACGUCAAGUCAUCAUGGCCCUUACGGGUAGGGCUACACACGUGCUACAAUGGCCGGUACAAUGGGUUGCGAAUCCGCGAGGUGGAGCUAAUCCCAUAAAGCCGGUCUCAGUCCGGAUCGGAGUCUGCAACUCGACUCCGUGAAGUCGGAAUCGCUAGUAAUCGUGAAUCAGAAUGUCACGGUGAAUACGUUCCCGGGUCUUGUACACACCG
This 434-nucleotide ribosomal RNA is filed under the name uncultured bacterium. RNAcentral's name for it is "bacterial SSU rRNA". It matches the Rfam family "Bacterial small subunit ribosomal RNA", at positions 958 to 1392 of the family's 1533-position model. The record is from RNAcentral.